GCCUAGGAAGGAAAGGAGUUGUUGUUUUGUAAAGGAUUGAGGUUUGGAAGAUUAAUCGGACACGGUCAGCAGGGAGAGCACUUGUGUUUUUAUGAGAAUUAUGCCGAGAUAGGUAACAGAUGAGGAUGAAAUUUGGGCUUGACUGAAGUAAUGGGGGCUGUCUGUGAAGCCCUGUGGCAGUACAGCCCAGGUAAUUUGCUGAGCCUAAUGGGUGUCAGGGUCAGUCUAAGUGAAAGCAAAGAGAGGCUUGGAUGAAGGGUGCAAAGGAAUAGUAAAGAAAGCAUGUGUGAGACCCAGAACAAAAUAAUGGGUAGUAGAGUGAGGUAUUGAGGAUAGGAGAGUAUAUGGGUUUGGCACCACGGGGUGGAUAGGCAAAACAAUUUGGUUGAUAAGGCUAAGAUUCUGAACUAACUCGUAAGCCUUGUCCAGUUUUAGGACAGGUAAAAUAGGGGAAUGGUAAGGAGAGUUCAUAGGCUUUAAAAGGCCAUGCUGUAGCAGGCGAGUGAUAACAGGCUUUAAUCAUUUUAAAGAGUGCUGUGGGAUGGGAUCUUGGCAUUGAGCGGGGUAAGGGGGAUUAGGUUUUAAUGAGAUAGUAAGGGGUGCAUGAUCGGUCGCCAAGGAGGGAGGAGAGGUAUCUUAUACUUGUGGGUUAAGGUGGGGGGAUUCAAGAGGAGAAUACAAAGGAGGCUUUGGAUUGGGAAAAAGGGUGGCAAUGAGAUGCAGCUGUAGUCCAGGAAUAGUCAGGGAAGCAGAUACUUUAGUUAAAGUGUCUCAUCCUAAUAAGGGAACUGGGCAGGUGGGGAUAACUAAAAAGGAGUGCUUAAAAGAGUAUUGUCUAAGUUGGCACCAGAGUUGGGGAGUUUUAAGAGGUUUAGAAGCCUGGCCGUCAAUACCCACAACAGUUAUGGAGGCAAGGGAAACAGGCCCUUGAAAAGAAGGUAAUGUGGAGUGGGUAGCCUCCGUAUUGAUUAAGAAGGGGACGGACUUACCCUCCACUCUGAGAGUUACCCGAAGCUCGGCAUCUGUAAUUGUCUACAGGGCUUCCAAGGCGAUCGGGCAGCGUCAGUCUUCAGCCGCUAAGCUGAGAAGAUCUGGGAAGGAGUCAGAGAGCCUUGGGCCAGAGUUCCAGGGGCUUUGGAAGUGGCUACCAGGUUGUAGACAAGAUGUAGGCCAGAGUUGGAGGAUCCAUUUCCAAGAUGAUGUGUCGCCACGAAGUUCCCUGGAGGCCUCGCUUCCUCACCUCUUGAGCUCUCCAGUUUGUUUGAGUGUCACCAUGAUAUGUCAGAGGCUUUCUCCAGAGAGAGGGUGAGGAGGAAUCCCAAAGCGUGUUUAUCGGGUAGCCUCAGCCAUCUAAUGCCAUGCUGCUAUAGUUUGGAUAUUUGUUCCCCAAACCUCAUGUUGAAAUUUAAUUCCCAAUGUUGGAGGCGGGGCCUAAUGGGAGGUGUUUGAGUCACAGGGGUGGAUCUCCCAUGAAUAGAUUA
RNAcentral lists this long non-coding RNA (1481 nucleotides) under Homo sapiens (human). RNAcentral describes it as "HSALNT0023445". The record is from RNAcentral. Lineage: Eukaryota; Metazoa; Chordata; Mammalia; Primates; Hominidae.